CCCUUAGAUGUUCUGGGCUGCACGCGCGCUACACUGAAGCUAUCAACACGUUUUCCCUCCCUGAGAAGGGCGGGUAACCUUUUGAAUCAGCUUCGUGGUAGGGAUCGGGGCUUGCAAUUGUUCCCCGUGAACCAGGAAUUCCUAGUAGACGCGAGUCAUAAGCUCGCAUCGAUUAAGUCCCUGCCCUUUGUACACACCGCCCGUCGCUACUACCGAUUGAACGUUUUAGUAAGGCAUUUGGACCGACGCAUCUCAGUUUAACCGCUGGUUUGUGUUGGAAAGACUUCCAAACUUGAGCGUUUAGAGGAAGUAAAAGUCGUAACA
Molecule: ribosomal RNA, 324 nt
Filed under: uncultured eukaryote
Lineage: Eukaryota
Description: partial 18S ribosomal RNA
Rfam family: Eukaryotic small subunit ribosomal RNA
Source: RNAcentral